This 77-nucleotide transfer RNA is filed under the name Escherichia coli. RNAcentral describes it as "tRNA-Arg". It matches the Rfam family "tRNA". From Rfam's summary of the family: Transfer RNA (tRNA) molecules are approximately 80 nucleotides in length. Their secondary structure includes four short double-helical elements and three loops (D, anti-codon, and T loops). The record is from RNAcentral. Lineage: Bacteria; Pseudomonadati; Pseudomonadota; Gammaproteobacteria; Enterobacterales; Enterobacteriaceae.
ACCGCCAUUAGCUCAUCAGGAAAGAGCGCCAGCCUUCGAAGCUGGUUGCGCGGAGUUCGGGUCCCCGAAGGCGGUCC